GGAAUCUUGCGCAAUGGGGGAAACCCUGACGCAGCAACGCCGCGUGGGUGAUGAAGGCCUUCGGGUCGUAAAGCCCUGUCAGGUGGAAAGAAUCGUGUCGGUACGAACAGUACCGAUGCUUGACGGUACCACCGGAGGAAGCACCGGCUAACUCCGUGCCAGCAGCCGCGGUAAUACGGAGGGUGCAAGCGUUGUUCGGAAUUACUGGGCGUAAAGCGCGUGUAGGCGGUUAGGCAAGUCAGAUGUGAAAGCCUUUCGCUUAACGGAAGAAUUGCAUUUGAAACUACCUGGCUGGAGUUCGGGAGAGGAGAGUGGAAUUCCCGGUGUAGAGGUGAAAUUCGUAGAUAUCGGGAGGAACACCGGUGGCGAAGGCGGCUCUCUGGCCCGAUACUGACGCUGAGACGCGAAAGCGUGGGGAGCAAACAGGAU
This 429-nucleotide ribosomal RNA is filed under the name uncultured bacterium. RNAcentral's name for it is "bacterial SSU rRNA". It matches the Rfam family "Bacterial small subunit ribosomal RNA", at positions 358 to 778 of the family's 1533-position model. The record is from RNAcentral.